CCUACGGGUGGCAGCAGUGAGGAAUAUUGGUCAAUGGUCGGGAGACUGAACCAGUCAAGCCGCGUGAGGGAUGAAGGUACAGAGUAUCGUAAACCUCUUUUGCCAGGGAACAAAGGCGGGGACGUGUCCCCGGAUGAGUGUACCUGAAGAAAAAGCAUGGGCUAACUCCGGGCCACCAGCGGCAGUAAUAGGAGGGAUGCGCGCGUUAUCGGGUUUUAUGGGGUUAAAAGGGGGCGCAGGGGGUCUGUUAAGUCAGCGGUAAAACCGCGGGGCUCAACACCGGCCCGCCGUUGAAACUGGCAGUCUCGAGUUGGAGAGAAGUAGGCGGAAUGCGCGGUGUAGCGGUGAAAUGCAUAGAUAUCGCGCAGAACUCCGGUUGCGAAGGCAGCAUGCCGGCUCCACACUGACGCUGAGGCACGAAAGCGUGGGGAGCGAACAGGAUUAGAUACCCGUGUAGUC
This 459-nucleotide ribosomal RNA is filed under the name uncultured bacterium. Its description in RNAcentral is "partial 16S ribosomal RNA". It matches the Rfam family "Bacterial small subunit ribosomal RNA", at positions 338 to 795 of the family's 1533-position model. The record is from RNAcentral.